This 253-nucleotide ribosomal RNA is filed under the name uncultured bacterium. RNAcentral's name for it is "partial 16S ribosomal RNA". It matches the Rfam family "Bacterial small subunit ribosomal RNA", at positions 524 to 776 of the family's 1533-position model. The record is from RNAcentral.
UACAGAGGGUGCGAGCGUUAAUCGGAAUUACUGGGCGUAAAGCGUGCGUAGACGGUUAUUUAAGUCGGGUGUGAAAGCCCCGGGCUCAACCUGGGAAUUGCAUUCGAGACUGAAUAGCUAGGGUACGGUAGAGGGAAGUGGAAUUUCCGGUGUAGCGGUGAAAUGCGUAGAUAUCGGAAGGAACAUCAGUGGCGAAAGCGACUUCCUGGACCAGUACCGACGCUCAUGUGCGAAAGCGUGGGGAGCAAACAGG